UCUUGCUUGAAGAACACGUACGAUGCUAAGUUUCUCAGUUAGGUAGAACAUGGCCAUGCGGAGAACCCGGCCGGCUACCGAUUGCCAAAUCCUAAAAACCGAAUGCUGUUGGUACGACUUCGAUUAAGGGAUACCAAUCAUAUAAGAAAUGGAGGUCAAUCAUGCAAGAUCUCAUAAUGAAGCAACACCUGGUGCACAUUAUCGUACU
Molecule: long non-coding RNA, 208 nt
Filed under: Brachypodium distachyon (stiff brome)
Lineage: Eukaryota; Viridiplantae; Streptophyta; Magnoliopsida; Poales; Poaceae
Description: long non-coding RNA (BDIS_LNC001671)
Source: RNAcentral